CCCCAACAGCUUGAGGGCCAGUGUCACUGUGAUAGGCUUUCUGCAGAUGUAGAGGAUAGAAGCAGAUGAAAACAUAGCUGCACUUGGAAUUGAAUUAAUCAGAGACUUCAGAACUUGCUCUAUUCAUCCUUUCAUUCACUCAGUCCUUCCACCAAGAUUUAUUGAGCACCCACUGCCUCCUAGACGCUUGGAGAUGAAAAAAAAAAGGGUGGCAGCCCAGAGGGACUCCAGCAGCACAGGGCCCAGUCACUAGCCAGAGGAGAUUCACCAACACUGGCGGGAUUGACCUUUGAUUUUGAAGGCACCAUCUCCAAGGCAGAGACAAAUGGACCUUGACUGCAAGAGGCUAUUUUGG
Molecule: long non-coding RNA, 355 nt
Organism: Choloepus didactylus (southern two-toed sloth)
Lineage: Eukaryota; Metazoa; Chordata; Mammalia; Pilosa; Megalonychidae
Exons: 3
Source: RefSeq, a predicted model, not a curated record